This 374-nucleotide ribosomal RNA is filed under the name uncultured prokaryote. RNAcentral describes it as "bacterial SSU rRNA". It matches the Rfam family "Bacterial small subunit ribosomal RNA", at positions 524 to 896 of the family's 1533-position model. The record is from RNAcentral.
UACAGAGGUCCCAAGCGUUGUUCGGAUUUACUGGGCGUAAAGGGUGCGUAGGCGGUCAAAAAAGUCUGAUGUGAAAUCUCGGAGCCUAACUCCGAAACUGCAUUGGAAACUGUUUGACUUGAGGAGUGGAGGGGAGACUGGAAUUCUCGGUGUAGCAGUGAAAUGCGUAGAUAUCGAGAGGAACACCAGUGGCGAAGGCGAGUCUCUAGACAUUUCCUGACGCUGAGGCACGAAAGCCAGGGGGGAAAGCGGGAUGAGAUACCCCGGUAGUCUGGGCUGUAACCGGGGCGUAUUUGCGGGGGGCGGAUCCGCCCCCGCCAGUGGCGAAGCUAACGCGAUAAAUGCGCCGCCUGGGGAGUACGGUCGCAAGAUUA